Molecule: ribosomal RNA, 460 nt
Filed under: uncultured bacterium
Lineage: Bacteria
Description: partial 16S ribosomal RNA
Rfam family: Bacterial small subunit ribosomal RNA
Source: RNAcentral
GCUACGGGGUGCAGCAGUGAGGAAUAUUGGUCAAUGGCCGUAAGGCUGAACCAGCCAAGUAGCGUGAGGGAAGACUGCCCUAUGGGUUGUAAACCUCUUUUAUGCGGGGAUAAAGGUGUCCACGUGUGGAUGUUUGCAGGUACCGCAUGAAUAAGGACCGGCUAAUUCCGUGCCAGCAGCCGCGGUAAUACGGAAGGUCCGGGCGUUAUCCGGAUUUAUUGGGUUUAAAGGGAGCGUAGGCCGGUCUUUAAGCGUGCCGUGAAAUUUUGUGGCUCAACCAUGAGAGUGCAGCGCGAACUGGAGACCUUGAGUGCGCGGAAGGCAGGCGGAAUUCGUGGUGUAGCGGUGAAAUGCUUAGAUAUCACGAAGAACCCCGAUUGCGAAGGCAGCCUUCCGGCGCCCUACUGACGCUGAGGCACGAAAGUGCGGGGAUCGAACAGGAUUAGAUACCCGAGUAGUC